This 542-nucleotide ribosomal RNA is filed under the name Neisseria cinerea. RNAcentral's name for it is "bacterial SSU rRNA". It matches the Rfam family "Bacterial small subunit ribosomal RNA", at positions 66 to 597 of the family's 1533-position model. Lineage: Bacteria; Pseudomonadati; Pseudomonadota; Betaproteobacteria; Neisseriales; Neisseriaceae. The record is from RNAcentral.
ACGGCAGCACAGAGAAGCUUGCUUCUUGGGUGGCGAGUGGCGAACGGGUGAGUAACAUAUCGGAACGUACCGAGUAGUGGGGGAUAACUGGUCGAAAGAUCAGCUAAUACCGCAUACGUCUUGAGAGGGAAAGCAGGGGACCUUCGGGCCUUGCGCUAUUCGAGCGGCCGAUAUCUGAUUAGCUAGUUGGUGGGGUAAAGGCCUACCAAGGCGACGAUCAGUAGCGGGUCUGAGAGGAUGAUCCGCCACACUGGGACUGAGACACGGCCCAGACUCCUACGGGAGGCAGCAGUGGGGAAUUUUGGACAAUGGGCGCAAGCCUGAUCCAGCCAUGCCGCGUGUCUGAAGAAGGCCUUCGGGUUGUAAAGGACUUUUGUCAGGGAAGAAAAGGCUGUUGCUAAUAUCAGCGGCUGAUGACGGUACCUGAAGAAUAAGCACCGGCUAACUACGUGCCAGCAGCCGCGGUAAUACGUAGGGUGCGAGCGUUAAUCGGAAUUACUGGGCGUAAAGCGAGCGCAGACGGUUACUUAAGCAGGAUGUGA